This 1522-nucleotide ribosomal RNA is filed under the name metagenome. RNAcentral's name for it is "bacterial SSU rRNA". It matches the Rfam family "Bacterial small subunit ribosomal RNA". The record is from RNAcentral.
AGAGUUUGAUCAUGGCUCAGAUUGAACGCUGGCGGCAGGCCUAACACAUGCAAGUCGAACGGUAACAGGAAGCAGCUUGCUGCUUCGCUGACGAGUGGCGGACGGGUGAGUAAUGUCUGGGAAGCUGCCUGAUGGAGGGGGAUAACUACUGGAAACGGUAGCUAAUACCGCAUAAUGUCGCAAGACCAAAGAGGGGGACCUUCGGGCCUCUUGCCAUCGGAUGUGCCCAGAUGGGAUUAGCUUGUUGGUGGGGUAACGGCUCACCAAGGCGACGAUCCCUAGCUGGUCUGAGAGGAUGACCAGCCACACUGGAACUGAGACACGGUCCAGACUCCUACGGGAGGCAGCAGUGGGGAAUAUUGCACAAUGGGCGCAAGCCUGAUGCAGCCAUGCCGCGUGUAUGAAGAAGGCCUUCGGGUUGUAAAGUACUUUCAGCGGGGAGGAAGGGAGUAAAGUUAAUACCUUUGCUCAUUGACGUUACCCGCAGAAGAAGCACCGGCUAACUCCGUGCCAGCAGCCGCGGUAAUACGGAGGGUGCAAGCGUUAAUCGGAAUUACUGGGCGUAAAGCGCACGCAGGCGGUUUGUUAAGUCAGAUGUGAAAUCCCCGGGCUCAACCUGGGAACUGCAUCUGAUACUGGCAAGCUUGAGUCUCGUAGAGGGGGGUAGAAUUCCAGGUGUAGCGGUGAAAUGCGUAGAGAUCUGGAGGAAUACCGGUGGCGAAGGCGGCCCCCUGGACGAAGACUGACGCUCUGGUGCGAAAGCGUGGGGAGCAAACAGGAUUAGAUACCCUGGUAGUCCACGCCGUAAACGAUGUCGACUUGGAGGUUGUGCCCUUGAGGCGUGGCUUCCGGAGCUAACGCGUUAAGUCGACCGCCUGGGGAGUACGGCCGCAAGGUUAAAACUCAAAUGAAUUGACGGGGGCCCGCACAAGCGGUGGAGCAUGUGGUUUAAUUCGAUGCAACGCGAAGAACCUUACCUGGUCUUGACAUCCACGGAAGUUUUCAGAGAUGAGAAUGUGCCUUCGGGAACCGUGAGACAGGUGCUGCAUGGCUGUCGUCAGCUCGUGUUGUGAAAUGUUGGGUUAAGUCCCGCAACGAGCGCAACCCUUAUCCUUUGUUGCCAGCGGUCCGGCCGGGAACUCAAAGGAGACUGCCAGUGAUAAACUGGAGGAAGGUGGGGAUGACGUCAAGUCAUCAUGGCCCUUACGACCAGGGCUACACACGUGCUACAAUGGCGCAUACAAAGAGAAGCGACCUCGCGAGAGCAAGCGGACCUCAUAAAGUGCGUCGUAGUCCGGAUUGGAGUCUGCAACUCGACUCCAUGAAGUCGGAAUCGCUAGUAAUCGUGGAUCAGAAUGCCACGGUGAAUACGUUCCCGGGCCUUGUACACACCGCCCGUCACACCAUGGGAGUGGGUUGCAAAAGAAGUAGGUAGCUUAACCUUCGGGAGGGCGCUUACCACUUUGUGAUUCAUGACUGGGGUGAAGUCGGAACAAGGUAACCGUAGGGGAACCUGCGGUUG